CCCCGGGGUUUCCGGGAAGGUUGGACCUGGGCGUUGCCGUCUCCCGGCUCGCCUCAAAUGUCUCAGUGGGGAUCGGCCCCCGUCGGGAGUAAUAAGUUUCUUCUGAUGGGGAUGGCUUGAUGAACCGCUCAUAACACGUGCCCUUCGGCACACCUUUUGACUCUGACCUCAAAUCAGGUAGGGCUACCCGCUGAACUUAA
RNAcentral lists this unclassified non-coding RNA (200 nucleotides) under soil metagenome. RNAcentral describes it as "partial contains internal transcribed spacer 2 and large subunit ribosomal RNA". The record is from RNAcentral.